ACGACGCUGGCGGCGUGCUUAACACAUGCAAGUCGAACGAGGAUCAGGGAGAGCUUGCUUGAACUGAUUCGAGUGGCGGACGGGUGAGUAACGCGUGAGCAACCUGUCUCACACAGGGGAAUAACGCAUCGAAAGAUGUGCUAAUACCGCAUAGGACCACGGUAUCGCAUGGUACUGAGGUGAAAGGAGUAAUCCGGUGUGAGGUGGGCUCGCGUCUGAUUAGAUAGUUGGUGAGGUAACGGCCCACCAAGUCAACGAUCAGUAGCCGACCUGAGAGGGUGAUCGGCCACAUUGGGACUGAGACACGGCCCAGACUCCUACGGGAGGCAGCAGUGGGGAAUAUUGGGCAAUGGGCGCAAAGCCUGACCCAGCAACGCCGCGUGAAGGAAGAAGGUUUUCGGAUCGUAAACUUCUGUCCUUGGUGAAGAGGUAGAGACGGUAGCCAAGGAGGAAGCCCCGGCUAACUACGUGCCAGCCGCGGC
This 482-nucleotide ribosomal RNA is filed under the name uncultured bacterium. RNAcentral describes it as "bacterial SSU rRNA". It matches the Rfam family "Bacterial small subunit ribosomal RNA", at positions 33 to 518 of the family's 1533-position model. The record is from RNAcentral.